This 385-nucleotide unclassified non-coding RNA is filed under the name uncultured bacterium. RNAcentral's name for it is "contains 16S-23S intergenic spacer region". The record is from RNAcentral.
UCCGGUUUAACACCGGCAGUCUCUCUAGAGUCCCCGGCUUCACCCGCUGGCAACUAGAGACAAGGGUUUCGCUCGUUAAGGGACUUAACCCGACAUCUCACGACACGAGCUGACGACAGCCAUGCAGCACCUGUGCACGUUUCACCCGAAGGCAGGCCCAUCCCUUUCAGGCGGACCAUCCGUGCAUGUCAAAUCUAGGAUAAGGUUCUUCGCGUAGCCUCGAAUUAAGCCACAUCCUCCACCGCUUGUGUGAGCCCCCGUCAAUUCCUUUGAGUUUUAGCCUUGCGGCCGUACUCCCCAGGCGGGGCGCUUAAUGCGUUAGCUGCGGCACGGAGACCUUGGAAGGUCCUCACACCUAGCGCCCAACGUUUACGGCAUGGACUAC